Molecule: ribosomal RNA, 564 nt
Filed under: uncultured bacterium
Lineage: Bacteria
Description: partial 16S ribosomal RNA
Rfam family: Bacterial small subunit ribosomal RNA
Source: RNAcentral
CGGGGAAUUUGGACAAUGGGCGAAAGCCUGAUCCAGCAAUGCCGCGUGUGUGAAGAAGGCCUUCGGGUUGUAAAGCACUUUUGUCCGGAAAGAAAUCCUUGGCUCUAAUACAGUCGGGGGAUGACGGUACCGGAAGAAUAAGCACCGGCUAACUACGUGCCAGCAGCCGCGGUAAUACGUAGGGUGCAAGCGUUAAUCGGAAUUACUGGGCGUAAAGCGUGCGCAGGCGGUUUGCUAAGACCGAUGUGAAAUCCCCGGGCUCAACCUGGGAACUGCAUUGGUGACUGGCAGGCUAGAGUAUGGCAGAGGGGGGUAGAAUUCCACGUGUAGCAGUGAAAUGCGUAGAGAUGUGGAGGAAUACCGAUGGCGAAGGCAGCCCCCUGGGCCAAUACUGACGCUCAUGCACGAAAGCGUGGGGAGCAAACAGGAUUAGAUACCCUGGUAGUCCACGCCCUAAACGAUGUCAACUAGUUGUUGGGGAUUCAUUCCUUAGUAACGUAGCUAACGCGUGAAGUUGACCGCCUGGGGAGUACGGUCGCAAGAUUAAAACUCAAAGGAAUUGAC